CCUACGGGAGACUGCAGUGGGGAAUAUUGGGCAAUGGGCGCAAGCCUGACCCAGCAACGCCGCGUGAAGGAAGAAGGCUUUCGGGUUGUAAACUUCUUUUCUCAGGGACGAAGAAAGUGACGGUACCUGAGGAAUAAGCCACGGCUAACUACGUGCCAGCAGCCGCGGUAAUACGUAGGUGGCAAGCGUUAUCCGGAUUUACUGGGUGUAAAGGGCGUGUAGGCGGGACUGCAAGUCAGAUGUGAAAACCACGGGCUCAACCUGUGGCCUGCAUUUGAAACUGUAGUUCUUGAGUACUGGAGAGGCAGACGGAAUUCCUAGGGUAGCGGUGAAAUGCGUAGAUAUUAGGAGGAACACCAGUGGCGAAGGCGGUCUGCUGGACUGCAACUGACGUUGAGGCCCGAAAGCGUGGGGAGCAAACAGGAUUAGAUACCCGUGUAGUG
RNAcentral lists this ribosomal RNA (443 nucleotides) under uncultured bacterium. RNAcentral describes it as "partial 16S ribosomal RNA". It matches the Rfam family "Bacterial small subunit ribosomal RNA", at positions 338 to 795 of the family's 1533-position model. The record is from RNAcentral.